AGGAACUUAGGCUAACCUAAACCAAAAGCCUUCAAAGCUUUAAACAAAAGUGAAAAUCUUUUAGUUCCUG
RNAcentral lists this transfer RNA (70 nucleotides) under Protopterus aethiopicus (marbled lungfish). Its description in RNAcentral is "tRNA-Trp". It matches the Rfam family "tRNA". From Rfam's summary of the family: Transfer RNA (tRNA) molecules are approximately 80 nucleotides in length. The record is from RNAcentral. Lineage: Eukaryota; Metazoa; Chordata; Ceratodontiformes; Protopteridae.